This 64-nucleotide transfer RNA is filed under the name Lepidostoma inops. RNAcentral describes it as "tRNA-Ile". The record is from RNAcentral. Lineage: Eukaryota; Metazoa; Arthropoda; Insecta; Trichoptera; Lepidostomatidae.
AAUAUAGUGCCUGAUUAAAGGAUUAUUUUGAUAGAAUAAAUUAAGUGAUUAUUUACCUAUAUUU